Molecule: long non-coding RNA, 546 nt
Filed under: Homo sapiens (human)
Lineage: Eukaryota; Metazoa; Chordata; Mammalia; Primates; Hominidae
Description: coronin 7 (ENSG00000282725.1)
Source: RNAcentral
ACUCUCUUGAUUGCUAGUGGUAACUCAGACCCUCAAGCUGGCUUAAGCAAAAAAUGGAUAAUGUUUCAGCCUAACUAAGAGAUCAGGGGCUUCAGGCAGAUCGGUGCCCAAAGGCUCACAUGUACUGUCGGCCCUGACCUCUCUGGGUCUCUCAGCUCUGCCACCUUGGGUGUUGGCUUCUUUCUCAAGUAAAAGUGCGAAAAGUGGCUGACGGUAGCUGCAAGCCCCAUACGAAAGCCCCACGCCCCUUUCGUAUGACCCGUGUUAAAAAGAGAGGACCUCUCGCCUAAUGUCUUCUGUAUCCAUCUGAGGCAUGGAUGGCUCAUGCAUGGGGCCAGAACCUACCCACAGGCCAUUGCUACGUGCAGAGGAUAUGAUCUUGUGAUUGGUAGAGGCUCUGGGAAGGUGUACUGGGCAUUGUGCCUCUGCAAGGCCAAGGAGAGGACAAGCGACGCGUGGCCCACCUGGGCUGCCAUUCAGACCUAGUCACCGACUUGGACUUCUCGCCCUUUGAUGACUUCCUCCUGGCCACAGGCUCGGCUGACA